UACGAAGGGUGCAAACGUUGCUCGGAAUUAUUGGGCGUAAAGCGCACGUAGGCGGCAUUGCAAGUCGGAUGUGAAAUCCCUCGGCUUAACCAAGGAAGUGCAUCCGAAACUGCUGUGCUUGAGUACUUAAGAGGAUCGCGGAAUUCCCGGUGUAGAGGUGAAAUUCGUAGAUAUCAGGAGGAACACCAGUGGCGAAGGCGGCUUCCUGGACACCAACUGACGCUGAGACGCGAAAGCGUGGGGAGCAAACAGG
This 253-nucleotide ribosomal RNA is filed under the name uncultured bacterium. RNAcentral's name for it is "partial 16S ribosomal RNA". It matches the Rfam family "Bacterial small subunit ribosomal RNA", at positions 524 to 776 of the family's 1533-position model. The record is from RNAcentral.